RNA transcript from Trachemys scripta elegans, 2165 nucleotides. RefSeq lists it as uncharacterized. The record is from RefSeq and is a predicted model, not a curated record. The transcript is spliced from 6 exons. Lineage: Eukaryota; Metazoa; Chordata; Testudines; Emydidae.
GACCUCCUGAGGUCCCUUCCAACCCUGAUAUUCUAUGAUUCUAUUCAUUUAUUUUUCCGGUUUGAACACCAACACUUUCUUAUAACAGUAACUGAGUGAAGAGAGGCCAUGCCACCUGGUGAACAAACAUGUUGCACUUUGCCAAAAAUACGUAGACUUUACACCUGGAAAAUAUGCAGAGUACAUGGAGAAUAUGGCUAAGUGGGAUCCUUGUGGGUGAAGACCACUCUUGCUGUAUCCUUCCAUGGGAAUUAUUUUAAAUAUCUGACUCUUGGUGUAAUCUGGUUAAUUUCAAAAGCCAAAAAAUCUGCUCUUCAGAAGUUCUUUCCAUGAGCUUCAGGGAUAAGUCAUUUCUGGCAGGGAUGAUUUGCCAGGACCCAGAGUUUUGAGCUCCCUUGGAGCCAGGGGAAAUCAGCCCAACGUACCUUUCAUUGAGGUGGCUGAAAUGUCAUUAGGGGCUCCUCUUGCACGCCAUUGAAUGUAUCUCUUUUUACAGGGUCAAAGAUGGAAAAGGUACAGUCCUAUUUAACGUUGGAUGAAGAUGACUUGCUCUCUGACCUAAGCAGUGGGGACCUAGAGAUGUUGCUAUCAUUCCUGGUGGGUAAGGUACAUGAAAUCGAAGUGAGAGUGAGCACAGAGAAGGAUGAGAUCAUGAGACUUGAGACAGAAAGAGCACAAUACGUCACAGAAAGAGACAACUGUCUGUCACUGGCAGCACAGAUUGUGCAUUUACAUCCAGUAUUGGAAGAGGAAUUCAAGACUCGAGAACAACUUCAAGGUGUUGCAGCUGAGCUGAAAAGGCUGAAAAAGGAUAUUGCUCAAGAUACCAGCCCCUAGCACGAUGGGGCCCUGAGCCCUGACUAGAGACUCCAAUGAUGCUACUGGAAUGAAAAUAACUUCUUCUGAAAUAUCUCCUCUCACCUAUAGGAGGCUCCUAUAGUGAGCAGCCAGAUGCGGCCAAAUUAGAACAGUUGAUAGCUGAAUCAGAAACCAUGAUAACCUCUCUCCAUCAGAAACAGCGUAUGUUUAAAAGCGAGAAAAUUCAUCUGACUAAGGUACUGGAGACCACCCAAAAUACGCUUUCCGAGGCACAGGCAGAAAGCCAUGCAGCUGAUCAGGAGCUGCUACGUUUGCAGAAGGAAUGUACUGAGCAAGCUCAUGUGAAGUCUUUGGGGGAUAAUGAAGCCGACAGACAGCUGGAUGCCUGCAUCAGACAGCUGGGAGUGUUAAACCUCCUCGCUAGGAAGAAGUGAACUUCUGUCUCCAGCAGGGGAUGUGUGUUAAUCAGCAGACCUGAAGUUCCGAAUUCCACUUGCAGAAGAUGUAGGCAAGUAGGAGGUGUGUGGCCACCAGUACACUGAGCCCCUCUUAUAGGAGGCAUGGGAAGAGACACCAUCUAGAGCAUAGCUGUACCAGGUUAAGCAGCCUGACAGUUCCCCAAUUUGAUUUCAUUUUACUUCACUUCAUUCACCUUCCAGCUGUCCACCAGGACAUAGCAGCAAAAUAUUUGAUUGUUCUUCCCCAGUCUUGUCUUCUCUGGAUGCUGCAUGGGGGACAUGAAGCAAAACCUGCUGUAUGAUGAAUUCUGCUACUCUCGGUUUCAUGUAUGCAGGGUUUUAUUUUCAUAAAUAUUGAGACUAGUCCAAUGGUUUGUUGCCAUUGGUGUCAGGGAUGCAGAGACUAAAGGAAACCAAUGGUUUAAGAAGGGCCCAUUUCAGCCAAACUCUCCUGGCAUCAGCCAUUUCCAUGUCCGCUCACCCUGGUUUGUGUGGCUGCUUCCCAUCCAACAAUAGAUUUCCCUUUCCAGCUAGUAGUCUAAUUUCCCUGUUUAGAUAGGCCAUAUCCACUGCGUUGAUGCACUUCUGUUGCUGUCUCAUUCCACUUCACACGGACCUAUCGCCAUUCUUUCCACUGGAUUGCCUUGAAGUUUCUCCAUGUUGAGAGCAGGGUAUCUCCAGGCAAUCUGUGAAGAUCAUCAGGUGUAUGUGAAACACAACUGGAGACGGAAGCCAUUUGCUGAUCUGGAAGCUGGUCAGCUCAUGGGAGACAAUGUACAAAAUGGUGGUUAGGUGUAAUUGUAAUGCAGUGCGGCUGGAUUUCUAGAAAGCUCUGAGCAAAGACAUGUUUUUGCAGAACUUCGAAAUAAAGUCAACUUUCUUCCAUAA